CAAGGGACGAGCGACCAAAGACGCGUGAAUACGGGCCUGAAAUGCACACAAUGUGCGCGAGGAGAGACAGAGAAAUUCAAGGCGAAUAGAUGCACGCGAAUUCGCAGUGUUUUUUCUUCUUUCUUCGCAGUAAAUUUUUACGUUCAAGUUGUUCGUUUUCUCUUCUUUGAGCCAAGGGAUAAAUUAAAUUAAGUAUGCAAACUUGGCGAAGCUUAUGAACGAGAAAAAGGACCUGUCAUGCGAAAAUUCGCAGUUGAAAAGAUAAAGAAAUUUCGAAAACAAAGAAUUUGAGUAUCUUGGUGCUGAGGACAAAGUUGAAGAAAGAACAAGAAGUAUUAACGAGUGCCGAUAGGCAGUGAUAAAAAUAUGACGAAGUAAAGGAUAUGCUAAAAAGAAAGGGGCAAUUGCUGUAUAUACACGCGCGAAAUAAGAAGAGAGAGAGAGAGUGAGAGAGAUAAAACGUUGAAAGAGAGGCCUUGGUCCGACGACGAUUAGCUCGAGGCAAAACUCGCUAUAUGCAUUGUCUCGCUGCCUGCUGCUCUGCUACUAAAGCCCUUAGGCUACUUCCCCUUUUUCUUCAGCUCCAUUUAUCCGCAUGUUCGUCUUUCUCUACCCCCACGUGUAUAUACAUACGAGAGAGAGAGAGAGAGAGAGAAAGCAAGGGAGAGAGAAUAUGAUGGAGAAAGCCACAACUACUGGCGGGAACAUUUGGAAGCAAAUGACAUUAAAAGGAGUAUUUUAUGUUAUUGUUUGCUGCAUAAGUCCAUUACGUUGUAGGUUGUUUUCAAUUUAUUCACCGCGAGAUGCAAUCUUUGACGAUUUGUCAAGUGAUAAACUUAUUAACUUAAUUAUGUUAAUUGAUGUACACAUAAAUCGCUAAAAUGCAAAGCAAAAUAAUUUUAGACAUACUAUAGCGAGGCUUUUUCACAAGUAAAUAUAAAAAUAUGGUCUUAGAUUUCGGGCUUACAUUUUGGCAUUGUGAACGACUGCAGCUCGUAGCAAAAAUCCCGGGACUUACGGAUGGAAAAAGAAAGUAAUUAAUGUUGGACGUAUGACAGCAAUCAAGUUGCAUUGCAGAAAAGACUCAUCUAUUAUGACUUCUGUAAAACGACCCAGUGGAUAAUCUUGAAAUUCGUUAGAAUAUUUCUAUUUUAUUUUCAUUUUAUGUUAGAUGAACUAUUAAUUUAUGAAUAACAUUUGACAAAAACUUCAAAAUAUAAUAUUGCGUUAGUAAUUACUACUAUUUGUCCUUGUCAAGUUUUGCACGAACCUCAAAAAAGAACAGACAAAUCAUCGUCGAAGCGUGACACUACAGCCGCAAAAAUGCCCAUCUUUGCUCGUGUGCGAUAUACAUGUAAGCUCUUUAGUUGCAGGUGCCUAAGGUCUCUCUUCCCCUUUCCUAGUCAAUGGGGGCCGUCAUCUGCUCGCGCGUUCUCACUCUCUUUCGGUUGUGUAUGAACGUAGUUGAUGCCUUGGGCAGA
Molecule: long non-coding RNA, 1481 nt
Organism: Phymastichus coffea
Lineage: Eukaryota; Metazoa; Arthropoda; Insecta; Hymenoptera; Eulophidae
Exons: 3
Source: RefSeq, a predicted model, not a curated record